CCUACGGGGGGCAGCAGUGGGGAAUCUUGCGCAAUGGGCGAAAGCCUGACGCAGCGACGCCGCGUGAGGGAUGAAGGUCUUCGGAUCGUAAACCUCUGUCAGCAGGGAAGAACGGUCACUGUGCUAAUCAGCAGUGAAUUGACGGUACCUGACUAAGAAGCCCUGGCUAACUACGUGCCAGCAGCCGCGGUAAUACGUAGGGGGCAAGCGUUAUCCGGAUUUACUGGGGGUAAAGGGAGCGUAGGCGGUUUAGCAAGUCAGAAGUGAAAGCCCUGGGCUCAACGCCGGGACUGCUUUUGAAACUGUUGAACUAGAUUGCAGGAGAGGUGAGUGGAAUUCCUAGUGUAGCGGUGGAAUGCGUAGAUAGUAGGAGGAACACCAGUGGCGAAGGCGGCUUACUGGACUGUAAAUGACGCUGAGGCUCGAAAGCAUGGGGAGCGAACAGGAUUAGAUACCCUGGUAGUC
Molecule: ribosomal RNA, 465 nt
Filed under: uncultured bacterium
Lineage: Bacteria
Description: partial 16S ribosomal RNA
Rfam family: Bacterial small subunit ribosomal RNA
Source: RNAcentral